AGGCCAGACCACGGGAGUUGGGGACCCGGAGCUUCUCCGAGACACCACCACUCCUGCUGGAAGGUGCCCUCGAGGACAGACCACGCGACUUGGGGACCCGCAGCUUGUCUGAGGUGUCCCCAAUCCCUGUGGACCGUGGCCCUUGAGGCCAGACCACAGGACUUGGGGACCUGCAGCUUGUCUGAGGUGUCUCCAAUCCCUGUGGAACGUGCCCUUGAGGCCAUUCUGCAGAACUUGUGAGCAGAGGCCUUUCCGAGGUGUCUCUUUUGCAGGUGCCCUUGAGGACAGACUGUGGCAUGGCAGGGAGACGCUCCGGCCUGUGCAGGCUUCUCAGAAGGAGGAACAAAGGCCCUGAGCCUGCCCCAGCACGGCAACCUGAGGACGUGCAAGACUUCCAGCCCCUGCAGCAGGAUCCAGGCCAGCACCGGACAGAAGAGCACGUCCGUACCCAUGGCCGCUUCCGCAGAGCAGUUCAGAGGUUUCUCAAAUUCGUGGGAAUUCGGCGUAGAACACCCAAGACCACACCACCUGAGGCC
Long non-coding RNA from Empidonax traillii (willow flycatcher), 536 nucleotides. RefSeq lists it as uncharacterized. NCBI's taxonomy places the organism in Eukaryota, Metazoa, Chordata, Aves, Passeriformes, Tyrannidae. The transcript is spliced from 3 exons. The record is from RefSeq and is a predicted model, not a curated record.